RNAcentral lists this ribosomal RNA (305 nucleotides) under uncultured bacterium. Its description in RNAcentral is "bacterial SSU rRNA". It matches the Rfam family "Bacterial small subunit ribosomal RNA", at positions 338 to 660 of the family's 1533-position model. The record is from RNAcentral.
CCUACGGGACGCAGCAGUGGGGAAUAUUGCACAAUGGGGGGAACCCUGAUGCAGCGACGCCGCGUGGGUGAAGGAGUACUUCGGUACGUAAAGCCCUAUCAGCAGGAAAGAAAAUGACGGUACCUGACUAAGAAGCCCCGGCUAACUACGUGCCAGCAGCCGCGGUAAUACGUAGGGGGCGAGCGUUAUCCGGAUUCACUGGGUGUAAAGGGAGCGUAGACGGCCAAGCAAGCCAGGGGUGAAAGCCCGGGGCCCAACCCCGGGACUGCCCUUGGAACUGCAUGGCUGGAGUGCGGGAGGGGCAG